CACUCCUGCGGGAGGCAGCAGUGGGGAAUAUUGGACAAUGGGCGCAAGCCUGAUCCAGCCAUGCCGCGUGAGUGAUGAAGGCCCUAGGGUUGUAAAGCUCUUUCACCGGAGAAGAUAAUGACGGUAUCCGGAGAAGAAGCCCCGGCUAACUUCGUGCCAGCAGCCGCGGUAAUACGAAGGGGGCUAGCGUUGUUCGGAAUUACUGGGCGUAAAGCGCACGUAGGCGGAUCGAUCAGUCAGGGGUGAAAUCCCAGGGCUCAACCCUGGAACUGCCUUUGAUACUGUCGAUCUGGAGUAUGGAAGAGGUGAGUGGAAUUCCGAGUGUAGAGGUGAAAUUCGUAGAUAUUCGGAGGGACACCAGUGGCGAAGGCGGCUCACUGGUCCAUUACUGACGCUGAGGUGCGAAAGCGUGGGGAGCAAACAGGAUUAGAUACCCGAGUAGUCCCA
This 447-nucleotide ribosomal RNA is filed under the name uncultured organism. RNAcentral's name for it is "partial 16S ribosomal RNA". It matches the Rfam family "Bacterial small subunit ribosomal RNA", at positions 334 to 797 of the family's 1533-position model. The record is from RNAcentral.